AUUAAAAAGAAAAAUACACUUUUAAAAAAUAUAGAAUAAAUUUUUGAAAUGCUAAUAAUAGUGCCCUUCUAUAAAAACCAAUUUCUUUUGUGUUUUGAUCUUCCAGAAAAGUUGUAAAGAAAUCUAACUAUUAUCUUAUUGUAUUAAAAGAAUAAUUAAUAGACACAAAAAGCGGUAGAUUAUGAUUAAUUACUACUGUAAUUUAGUAGUUGUGUGAUCAUUAAAUUAGAAAACUGUACAUAAUUAAUUGGAGAAUUUGAUUCCAGCCGAAAUCAAUAAUUAAUUACCUUCCCUCAUAAUGACGAUCCAACUUUUUCUAGAAAUAAAAAAAAAAGGAAAAAAAAAAUGUGUUGGUGGCAAGCAUCACCAGCGAACAACAACAAAAAUUAUAUGCAAAUAACCCAAUUCUUUGAUAGAAAAUCUAGUGAAAAAAAUUAAUUCAUAAACAAUUCCCAGAAGUAGCAGAUGAACCAAAACAAACUGAAGAACCAGACAAGUUCUGAGAAAUAAAUACAAUUAAUCAUGCAAGCUUUAUAACAAAGUAUAUGAAACUCUAGAUAAAACCCACUAAUGAAAAUGCCAUAUCAUAUAUAUAUAUAUAUAUAUAUAUGUAUAUAUAGAUACCUUUGGUGAUAGAUGGUUUCGGCUUUUGGACCACCUUGUGAUUCUCCGGCUGUUUGUUGAUGCUGUUGGAGUAGUCUAUGCCAAGGAGGUCAGAGAUGGUGUCAAGAUCUGACCAGAGGUCCUCCGCCGUCAGCUUCAGGGCGCGCUUGACGGCGAUGAAGUCGGAAAUGAUAGCACCACCACACAUGUUUAUAUUGCCACUUGU
RNAcentral lists this long non-coding RNA (829 nucleotides) under Malus domestica (apple). Its description in RNAcentral is "long non-coding RNA (MDOM_LNC011950)". The record is from RNAcentral. Lineage: Eukaryota; Viridiplantae; Streptophyta; Magnoliopsida; Rosales; Rosaceae.